RNAcentral lists this ribosomal RNA (1239 nucleotides) under Iranian 'Bois noir' phytoplasma. RNAcentral's name for it is "bacterial SSU rRNA". It matches the Rfam family "Bacterial small subunit ribosomal RNA", at positions 115 to 1356 of the family's 1533-position model. The record is from RNAcentral. Lineage: Bacteria; Bacillati; Mycoplasmatota; Mollicutes; Acholeplasmatales; Acholeplasmataceae.
GCGUAAGCAAUCUGCCCCUAAGACGAGCAUAACAGUUGGAAACGACUGCUAAGAGUGGAUAGGAGAUAAGAAGGCAUCUUUUUAUUUUUAAAAGACCUAGCAAUAGGUAUGCUUAGGGAAGAGCUUGCGUCACAUUAGUUAGUUGGUGGGGUAAUGGCCUACCAAGACGAUGAUGUGUAGCCGGGCUGAGAGGUCGAACGGCCACAUUGGGACUGAGACACGGCCCAAACUCCUACGGGAGGCAGCAGUAAGGAAUUUUCGGCAAUGGAGGAAACUCUGACCGAGCAAUGCCGCGUGAACGAUGAAGUAUUUCGGUACGUAAAGUUCUUUUAUUAGGGAAGAAAAGAUGGUGGAAAAACCAUUAUGACGGUACCUAAUGAAUAAGCCCCGGCUAACUAUGUGCCAGCAGCCGCGGUAAUACAUAGGGGGCAAGCGUUAUCCGGAAUUAUUGGGCGUAAAGGGUGCGUAGGCGGUUAGAUAAGUUUAUGGUCUAAGUGCAACGCUCAACGUUGUGAUGCUAUAAAAACUGUUUAGCUAGAGUUGGAUAGAGGCAAUUGGAAUUCCGUGUGUAGUGGUAAAAUGCGUAAAUAUACGGAGGAACACCAGAAGCGAAGGCGGCUUGCUGGGUCUUAACUGACGCUGAGGCACGAAAGCGUGGGGAGCAAACAGGAUUAGAUACCCUGGUAGUCCACGCCCUAAACGAUGAGUACUAAACGUUGGAUAAAACCAGUGUUGAAGUUAACACAUUAAGUACUCCGCCUGAGUAGUACGUACGCAAGUAUGAAACUUAAAGGAAUUGACGGGACUCCGCACAAGCGGUGGAUCAUGUUGUUUAAUUCGAAGGUACCCGAAAAACCUCACCAGGUCUUGACAUGCUUUUGCAAAGCUGUAGAAAUACAGUGGAGGUUAUCAGAAGCACAGGUGGUGCAUGGUUGUCGUCAGCUCGUGUCGUGAGAUGUUGGGUUAAGUCCCGCAACGAGCGCAACCCUUGUUGUUAAUUGCCAUCAUUAAGUUGGGGACUUUAGCAAGACUGCCAAUGAUAAAUUGGAGGAAGGUGGGGACGACGUCAAAUCAUCAUGCCCCUUAUGACCUGGGCUACAAACGUGAUACAAUGGCUGUUACAAAGGGUAGCUAAAGCGUAAGCUUCUGGCGUAUCUCAAAAAAGCAGUCUCAGUUCGGAUUGAAGUCUGCAACUCGACUUCAUGAAGUUGGAAUCGCUAGUAAUCGCGAAUCAGCAUG